CGCCUGUUUAUCAAAAACAUGGCUUUCUGACUAACAUGGGGGGUCGUGCCUUCCCGGUGGGUAUACGAGCCUAAACGGACGCGGUAAAUCGUGCUAAGGUAGCUAAAUUAUGGCCCAUUAAUUGUGGGUCCUGUGAAUGGUUUGACGAGUCCUCUACUGUCUCAAGGUUGUUUUGGUGAACUUGAAUUGAAUGUGCAAAUGCUUUCAUACGAAAGAAAGACGAGAAGACCCCGUGAAGUUAGAAAUUCCUAUUACAGCGUAAACCCACAUUGACUGUGUCAGCGUUAAAGAGCAGAUAGGGCUUUGGAUCUUUUUUUGAAGGUCCCGGCUUUAUGGCUUUUGAGCAGCGGAAUGUAGUUUUGACGAGUUUUGGCUGGGGCAGCAAAGAGGCAAAACUAGACCUUUUUAAUCACUAAACGGAUACGUUACGACCCACAAAACAUGAAAAUCGUGAUUAACAGAAGGAGUUACUCCGGGGAUAACAUGCGUAAUCUUCCUUGAUAGUUCUUAUAGAUGGGCGGGUUUGCGACCUCGAUGUUGGCUCUGGGUAUCCUGAGGCAUGCAGGCGGUCUCAAGGGUUGGUUCGUUCGCCCAUUAAAACCCGACGUGAUCUGAGUUCAGACCGG
This 626-nucleotide ribosomal RNA is filed under the name Mizuhopecten yessoensis (Yesso scallop). RNAcentral describes it as "partial 16S ribosomal RNA". It matches the Rfam family "Bacterial large subunit ribosomal RNA", at positions 1797 to 2619 of the family's 2925-position model. The record is from RNAcentral. Lineage: Eukaryota; Metazoa; Mollusca; Bivalvia; Pectinida; Pectinidae.